GCCCCCAUCGUCUAGUGGACUAGGAUAUCUGGUUCUCAGCCAGAAGACCGGGGUUCAAUUCCCCGUGGGGGUC
Molecule: transfer RNA, 73 nt
Filed under: Gemmatimonadota bacterium
Lineage: Bacteria; Pseudomonadati; Gemmatimonadota
Description: Gemmatimonadetes bacterium (soil metagenome) tRNA-Glu
Rfam family: tRNA
About the family: Transfer RNA (tRNA) molecules are approximately 80 nucleotides in length. Their secondary structure includes four short double-helical elements and three loops (D, anti-codon, and T loops).
Source: RNAcentral